AGUGGCGGACGGGUGGAGGUAAUGCAUGAGCAACCUGCCCUGGAGAGGGGGACGAACAGCUGGAAACGGCUGCUAAUACCGCAUGAUGUCGUCGGGGGGCGAUCCUCUGACGACCAAAGAUUUAUCGCUCUGGGAUGGGCUCAUGUCUGAUUAGAUAGUUGGCGGGGCAACGGCCCACCAAGUCUGCGAUCAGUAGCCGGACUGAGAGGUUGAACGGCCACAUUGGGACUGAGAUACGGCCCAGACUCCUACGGGAGGCAGCAGUGGGGAAUAUUGGGCAAUGGGCGCAAGCCUGACCCAGCAACGCCGCGUGAAGGAAGAAGGCUUUCGGGUUGUAAACUUCUUUUAUCAGGGACGAAGAAAGUGACGGUACCUGAUGAAUAAGCCACGGCUAACUACGUGCCAGCAGCGGC
This 413-nucleotide ribosomal RNA is filed under the name uncultured bacterium. Its description in RNAcentral is "bacterial SSU rRNA". It matches the Rfam family "Bacterial small subunit ribosomal RNA", at positions 94 to 518 of the family's 1533-position model. The record is from RNAcentral.